Non-coding RNA from Sturnus vulgaris (Common starling), 87 nucleotides. NCBI's taxonomy places the organism in Eukaryota, Metazoa, Chordata, Aves, Passeriformes, Sturnidae. The record is from RefSeq and is a predicted model, not a curated record.
AAGCAUUGGAAGGGGCUCCCAGGGAGGUUUAGAAUCCCCAUCCCUGGAGGUGUCCAAGGAAAGCCUGGAUGUGGCACGCUGUGCUCU